Gallus gallus (chicken) is the source of this 1703-nucleotide long non-coding RNA. The record is from Ensembl. NCBI's taxonomy places the organism in Eukaryota, Metazoa, Chordata, Aves, Galliformes, Phasianidae.
GCGGCAGUGAUGCCGUGGAACAGGAUGCGCAACCUGCUGAGUUUCCUGCGUUUGUGCUGCGCUGCUGGCCUGUGCUGAGCCCCUUCUGCUCUGCCCUCCCCUCUGGAGCCGCUGGGUGGAUUCAUAACGACCCGAAUUCGGUGAUGCUGCCAUGUCACACCGCUAGCUGAGCUCUGCAGUGUGUCUCAGCCUCCUGCUGUGAGACCUGAGAAGGCAGCCAGUGUCACCUUAGCUGUUACAUCGGGAGAGGACAGCGCGGAGUACCAACCUCAGCUCCUGCUGUAAAACCAGUGUGGAAAAUCAGUGUUGGAGCCACCUCAGUAGUAUUGGCAACAGGUCACUCACAAGUGCUUCAGCAGCAUGCAGAGCUCUGAGAGGCUGUAGAACAUGAGCACAGAGACCAGAGCAAUGGAACAGGCUGGAAUACUAUUUUCCUUGGAUUUGCAAGGAAUAGACUUCUGCAGCUUUCAUAAAGAUAAGGAGAACCUGCCCUGGUGCAGCAUUGGGAGCUCCAACAGACACAAGAAGGGCUCUCUGCCCAUAGCCCACCUGUCGCUCUCGCCUCUGCUGUGCCCUUCGUCCCUUGUAAAUCACUAGUCCCUCUGAGGCUGGGAAAAAGAUUCCUGGAAACAGACUUCUGCUGACUUUUGAUUAUUAUGAAACAGAGCAGUCCUGGAAAGAAACCGGGGUCUGAAAACACAUCAGGGCAAUGGGCAGCUCAAUAAAUACACUGUUGUUAUCUGUCAUUGUAGCCUUCACAAGCUCACUACUUGAGCUGUUGUAUACAUGGGAGGGGCUGCCAGACCUUUCCAGUGACAGCUUUCUGCAUUGUGAGAUGCUUUUACUUCUUGUGUCUUGAGGGUGUUCAGCUAAAGCAGGCUGGGAGUGACAUCAAGAUAGGCUCCUGCAUGGGUCUGUGAGGGGUCUGGAAGCAGUUUGUCUCAAGGAUUUUCCUCAUUUUGUUCUCUGCAAUGUACAGAAGAAUCAAGAAAAAACAAAACACCAAAAUGAUUUGGUUUUAGUUUUUAUUUGGCCAAAAGGUUAUUCUGUUAUGGGCUGUAGAGAGGAGAUUUAAACAACUGUCUCAGAUAAAAAUCACUGGAGCACAACUGAGGAUUUCCACUAUCUCUAAGGCAGUAAGCGUAUACCAACCACAAGCAGCCAGUGGUAUUUUGGUUCAUUUUAAGUGGGCCUAAGUAAGGACCACAGCAACUGCACAAACACUGAGCCCCAUACAGUGUCUUGCCACCUGUUUCUGUGAUUUCUUUGGCCUGUUGACUCAUACAUAUAUAUUUUUUUCUGGAAGCUAAGGAUGCUUGCCAUGCUGAAAAUGCCCUUGGUUUGGUUUUGAGCUUGGAUGAAGUUCCUCCAAAAUGCUUCCACGGUGAUUAAGUUUCUGACUUCUUUAUUUUUUACUUCAGUGUGGCAGGGAGUGAAAUGAGAGCCCCUCAUGCGCUAGGGAGAGAUGUGGGUUUGGUAGCUUCCUUCCUGCCGCCAUCCUGCUUGUGUCAGGCUGGAUGGGGAUUGUCCAGGAAAUCAUAGAAUCACAGAACAAUUUGAGGGGAUCUCAAGGCCCACCCAGCCCUAGCUCCCAGCCAUGGCCAGGGCUGCCCCCCAGCUCAGCUGCCCAGGGCUCCAUCCAACCUGACCUUGAGCACCUCCAGGGAUGUGACAUCACAGCUUCUCUGGGCAGCUGUGCCAGG